Molecule: microRNA precursor, 59 nt
Filed under: Alligator mississippiensis (American alligator)
Lineage: Eukaryota; Metazoa; Chordata; Crocodylia; Alligatoridae
Also listed under: 1 other name
Description: Ami-Mir-205-P4_pre stem-loop
Rfam family: mir-205 microRNA precursor family
Source: RNAcentral
UCCUUCAUUCCACCGGAGUCUGUCUCAUACCUAAUCAGAUUUCAGUGGAGUGAAGCACA